RNAcentral lists this ribosomal RNA (207 nucleotides) under uncultured bacterium. Its description in RNAcentral is "partial 16S ribosomal RNA". It matches the Rfam family "Bacterial small subunit ribosomal RNA", at positions 568 to 774 of the family's 1533-position model. The record is from RNAcentral.
AGCGUAGACGGAAUGGCAAGUCUGAUGUGAAAGACCGGGGCUCAACCCCGGGACUGCAUUGGAAACUGUCAAUCUAGAGUACCGGAGGGGUAAGUGGAAUUCCUAGUGUAGCGGUGAAAUGCGUAGAUAUUAGGAGGAACACCAGUGGCGAAGGCGGCUUACUGGACGGUAACUGACGUUGAGGCUCGAAAGCGUGGGAGGCAAACA